CAUCACUCAGACUCUCUCCUGGAGAUCAUAGUCACCAAGAAGGUGGAGUCAAAGACUUCAAACCCUCUUUCAUUGCUUUGUCACAGGAAGAGACUUAGUUUUAAGGAUGCUCAGAGCUUUGCUAAUUUCAUUUCCCAGGGAGCUCUUGUUUACAGCUAAACAAGGAGCAGGUCUCCAUCCUAUUUCUGAUACAAGCCAGAUUUCGCGGUCUAUUCUUGUGAAUGAUGAUAGACAUUCUGGCCACCUCGAGUACAACCAUAUUGUCUCUGCACAGAUGAAGCAGGUAGAGAACUCCUUCCCCUCCAAAAGAAGUCCAGCACAAAUUGCUAUGUGAAAUCCUGAGUGAAAGAUCAUUUUUGUGGUUGCUGGUGCUUUGUUUUGAAAGAAGACCAAUGAUAUCACAGAACAAUGUUUUGGCAUGAAGUGGAUAUAAGUGAGGCAGAGUUGCACAAAGUCAUCAGCCUCUCUCUUCCAGAGUAAUUGAAGUCCAGUGGCAAG
Molecule: long non-coding RNA, 498 nt
Filed under: Monodelphis domestica (gray short-tailed opossum)
Lineage: Eukaryota; Metazoa; Chordata; Mammalia; Didelphimorphia; Didelphidae
Description: lncRNA (ENSMODG00000042200.1)
Source: RNAcentral